CAAAUGAAUUGACGGGGCCGCACAAGCGGUGGAGCAUGUGGUUUAAUUCGAAGCAACGCGAAGAACCUUACCAGGUCUUGACAUCCGAUGCUAUUUCUAGAGAUAGAAAGUUACUUCGGUACAUCGGUGACAGGUGGUGCAUGGUUGUCGUCAGCUCGUGUCGUUGAGAUGUUGGGUUAAGUCCCGCAACGAGCGCAACCCUUAUCAUUAGUUGCUACGCAAGGGCACUCUAAUGAGACUGCCGGUGACAAACCGGAGGAAGGUGGGGAUGACGUCAAGUCCUCAUGGCCCUUAUGGGUAGGGCUUCACACGUCAUACAAUGGUCGGUACAGAGGGUUGCCAAGCCGCGAGGUGGAGCCAGUCCCAGAAAGCCGAUCGUAGUCCGGAUUGUUCUCUGCAACUCGAGAGCAUGAAGUCGGAAUCGCUAGUAAUCGCGGAUCAGCAUGUCGCGGUGAAUACGUUCCCGGGUCUU
RNAcentral lists this ribosomal RNA (472 nucleotides) under uncultured Fusobacterium sp. RNAcentral describes it as "bacterial SSU rRNA". It matches the Rfam family "Bacterial small subunit ribosomal RNA", at positions 902 to 1382 of the family's 1533-position model. The record is from RNAcentral. Lineage: Bacteria; Fusobacteriati; Fusobacteriota; Fusobacteriia; Fusobacteriales; Fusobacteriaceae.